GCAUUCUUAGCUCAGAUGGAUAGAGCAACAACCUUCUAAGUUGAAAGUCACGGGUUCAAUUCCUGUAGAAUGCG
This 74-nucleotide transfer RNA is filed under the name Gonatozygon brebissonii. RNAcentral's name for it is "tRNA-Arg". It matches the Rfam family "tRNA". From Rfam's summary of the family: Transfer RNA (tRNA) molecules are approximately 80 nucleotides in length. Their secondary structure includes four short double-helical elements and three loops (D, anti-codon, and T loops). Lineage: Eukaryota; Viridiplantae; Streptophyta; Zygnematophyceae; Desmidiales; Gonatozygaceae. The record is from RNAcentral.